AUGCUCUACCACCAGAUCCACCGCCAGCUCCAUCCGGAUGUGGGGAGCGACACUUCCUCGUCGUCGUCGGGCGUCCAGUCGGUGGGCUCCAAGAUCCGUGGCGCUAAAAGGGCACGAAUUGGUGGGGAUGAGGAUGCCAGCACCGGUCGAAUUCAUGAGAUCUUGAAGCAAAUGUGUGAAGCUGGAGAUGAUGUUCGUGAGGCGCUCAAGAUGGAGAAGCUGGACGCUGUUGUCACCUACGGAGGUCUGAAUGCUGGUAUGGAUCACCGCCGCCCGACAAAAGCUUUUGUUACAGAGCCGAAGAUAUUUGGGAGGGAUGCCGUGAAGGAGCGCAUUGUGGAGACGCUGGUGAGUGCUGAGGCUUGUGGUGUCGAUUUGUCAGUCGAAGGCAAGGUGGGGUGUUGGGAAAACUACUCUAGCACAGCUCGUUUACAACGAUGCGAGAGUGCAAGGUUGCUUCAGCAAGCGGAUAUGGGUCUCGGUGUCUGCUGA
RNAcentral lists this ribosomal RNA (492 nucleotides) under Triticum aestivum (bread wheat). Its description in RNAcentral is "partial small subunit ribosomal RNA". Lineage: Eukaryota; Viridiplantae; Streptophyta; Magnoliopsida; Poales; Poaceae. The record is from RNAcentral.